AGAGUUUGAUCAUGGCUCAGGAUGAACGCUAGCUACAGGCUUAACACAUGCAAGUCGAGGGGCAGCAUGGUCUUAGCUUGCUAAGGCCGAUGGCGACCGGCGCACGGGUGAGUAACACGUAUCCAACCUGCCGUCUACUCUUGGACAGCCUUCUGAAAGGAAGAUUAAUACAAGAUGGCAUCAUGAGUCCGCAUGUUCACAUGAUUAAAGGUAUUCCGGUAGACGAUGGGGAUGCGUUCCAUUAGAUAGUAGGCGGGGUAACGGCCCACCUAGUCUUCGAUGGGUAGGGGUUCUGAGAGGAAGGUCCCCCACAUUGGAACUGAGACACGGUCCAAACUCCUACGGGAGGCAGCAGUGAGGAAUAUUGGUCAAUGGGCGAGAGCCUGAACCAGCCAAGUAGCGUGAAGGAUGACUGCCCUAUGGGUUGUAAACUUCUUUUAUAAAGGAAUAAAGUCGGGUAUGGAUACCCGUUUGCAUGUACUUUAUGAAUAAGGAUCGGCUAACUCCGUGCCAGCAGCCGCGGUAAUACGGAGGAUCCGAGCGUUAUCCGGAUUUAUUGGGUUUAAAGGGAGCGUAGAUGGAUGUUUAAGUCAGUUGUGAAAGUUUGCGGCUCAACCGUAAAAUUGCAGUUGAUACUGGAUAUCUUGAGUGCAGUUGAGGCAGGCGGAAUUCGUGGUGUAGCGGUGAAAUGCUUAGAUAUCACGAAGAACUCCGAUUGCGAAGGCAGCCUGCUAAGCUGCAACUGACAUUGAGGCUCGAAAGUGUGGGUAUCAAACAGGAUUAGAUACCCUGGUAGUCCACACGGUAAACGAUGAAUACUCGCUGUUUGCGAUAUACUGCAAGCGGCCAAGCGAAAGCGUUAAGUAUUCCACCUGGGGAGUACGCCGGCAACGGUGAAACUCAAAGGAAUUGACGGGGGCCCGCACAAGCGGAGGAACAUGUGGUUUAAUUCGAUGAUACGCGAGGAACCUUACCCGGGCUUAAAUUGCAGAUGAAUUACGGUGAAAGCCGUAAGCCGCAAGGCAUCUGUGAAGGUGCUGCAUGGUUGUCGUCAGCUCGUGCCGUGAGGUGUCGGCUUAAGUGCCAUAACGAGCGCAACCCUUGUUGUCAGUUACUAACAGGUUCCGCUGAGGACUCUGACAAGACUGCCAUCGUAAGAUGUGAGGAAGGUGGGGAUGACGUCAAAUCAGCACGGCCCUUACGUCCGGGGCUACACACGUGUUACAAUGGGGGGUACAGAGGGCCGCUACCACGCGAGUGGAUGCCAAUCCCAAAAACCUCUCUCAGUUCGGACUGGAGUCUGCAACCCGACUCCACGAAGCUGGAUUCGCUAGUAAUCGCGCAUCAGCCACGGCGCGGUGAAUACGUUCCCGGGCCUUGUACACACCGCCCGU
This 1394-nucleotide ribosomal RNA is filed under the name uncultured bacterium. Its description in RNAcentral is "bacterial SSU rRNA". It matches the Rfam family "Bacterial small subunit ribosomal RNA". The record is from RNAcentral.